GUAUUGAAGCCGAGCUGUUUGCGAGAGAAACUGCAGGGUUUGCUUUGAAGGUUAUCAUGGCUGAACAGUUAAGACAGAGGUGGGCCAGUACUGUGGUACAGGCUGAGGACCUCUUCAAGGACAUUUCUACUGAAGUUUAAUUAACUAGUGCCCAGGAUCUAAAAACUCGAUGGAAGAGGCAGACGGUGGCUACAACCAGGUGGGCGAGGGCGAAGACAGUCAGACAGUCAGCAUCGGAUGAUGUGGCAAUGGAGGUUGGAAUGCCGCUGGUGGCCCCUUCAUCUUCUGCAGCUGAGAGUUAUGUCCUGUUUUUGGAAUCUGGCCUAGAUCUAUGCUGAAAAGAGUCUAAGGACCAUGCAGACAGCAGUUCCAUUGAAGUGUCCUAGUGAAUACAAGUACUGUGAAAGUGUACAGCGCAGUCGGCGGCAUGGAAAUCAUUCAUACUUCAAAGAAAGAUAUAACAAGACUUAGACUUGACAAUGUUUACUAGUAAUUACAAUUAUCAUAUGGUAUGUCAGAUGUUGUUGGAUCACUUCCCUUAAGUCAUUGAGUAAUAAGUGUCCAUUGUCACCAGCUGUCAUAUGAGAACUGAUUGUCAAUGCACAUAUAUUAAAGAUGGUAAAAGUCAUACUUAAAAUGAUUACAUAUUAUUGUAUGAGUUCAGAUAGGCUCUUAUCUCUAUGUACAUGCAGUGAUAUUACUAGGUGUCUUGUAUUUCCUGUUUGGAUGGAUAUCAGUCCACAACUCUCUAUCACCAUGCACGUAUCUACAACUCUCUAUCACCAUGCACAUAUCUGCAACUCUCUAUCACCAUGCACGUAUCUACAACUCUCUAUCACCAUGCAUGUAUCUACAACUCUCUAUCACCAUGCAUGUAUCUACAACUCUCUAUCACCAUGCACGUAUCUACAACUCUCUAUCACCAUGCACGUAUCUACAUUUGCAUUUUUAUGCAUUUUGUCUAUGUAGUGUAAGACUAUUGCUUGCCAUGCAAAGAUGUCACCCUAAUCAGUUACUAUUUACUUAUUUAAGGCAAUUUAGGUAUAAAGUUGUCAUAGUAACAGAAACUCUCUGCUGUUACAUAGAAAGAUUGUCUUCACAACUUGUUGUCAAUGAAAUAGCCAUGGGUUAUAUAUUUAGAGUAAAAGGCAGAUGAAAUGGACAUGUAUAUUGUGCUAAUGAGUACAGAUCGUGCAGUAUUACUACAUAUUAUUUUGUAGCAAUUAUCAAGUGUUCAUUUCAUCGUACAUACCUUGAACAAAAGUACAGAUGACACAAGCAUUCCACGGUUUUAAUUUUAAUUAAUGUAGUGUAAGUCCUUGUAAAAUGUAUUGUACCCAUUUGGAAAGUUUGAUUCAUACAACUUAUGAGUGAUUUUCAUUUCCCAUUUAUUAAAACACAAAGUGAGUCACAAAAGUAUAUUUGCAUACUAUUAAUGUAUACACUUACCAUUG
Long non-coding RNA from Protopterus annectens (West African lungfish), 1454 nucleotides. RefSeq lists it as uncharacterized. The record is from RefSeq and is a predicted model, not a curated record. NCBI's taxonomy places the organism in Eukaryota, Metazoa, Chordata, Ceratodontiformes, Protopteridae. The transcript is spliced from 3 exons.